Molecule: ribosomal RNA, 207 nt
Filed under: uncultured bacterium
Lineage: Bacteria
Description: partial 16S ribosomal RNA
Rfam family: Bacterial small subunit ribosomal RNA
Source: RNAcentral
CCUUUGAGACCGGGAUAGCCCUGAGAAAUCAGGAUUAAUACCGGAUGUGGUCACGACAAGGCAUCUUGAUGUGAACAAAGGCGCAAGCCGCUCAUUGACGGGCUCGCGGCUUAUUAGCUUGUUGGUGGGGUGAUGGCCUACCAAGGCGAUGAUGAGUAGCUGGUCUGAGAGGACGAUCAGCCACACUGGGACUGAGACACGGCCCAG